Non-coding RNA from Lonchura striata (white-rumped munia), 434 nucleotides. The record is from RefSeq and is a predicted model, not a curated record. Lineage: Eukaryota; Metazoa; Chordata; Aves; Passeriformes; Estrildidae.
UUGGGAUCCUGGCCGGGAUCCUGCUGGGCUACGACGCCUACAUCACCCUCCCCACGCGGCAGGGCCACGGCGCCGCCGGCACUGCAUCGCCGGGCGGUGUCUGAAGAACCCAAGAAACCCCCGGAGACCUCCCCCCGCACAGGGGGACCCCAGCCUUAAAUUAUUGAGGGGUCCCGACGCCGUGGUCCCCCCGGGGGGGUCUGGGGGUCCCACGGGAGCUGCCCCUCCCUCAAACGCCUUCGCAAGUGCCUUGAAUCGCCUGUGCCUCAGUUUCCCCGCGGGGAGACCCCCUCAGGUUUAAAGGCGCCCUCGCCCCUCCUACGGGUUUUGGGGUGCCCGCCUCAGUUUUUGGGGUGUUUCCCCCCCCCUCCCUCAGCCUGCGGGAGGCUUUUGGGGGCAAUCUAUUGGGAAAUAAAUGGUUUUUAUUAUUGCAA